CUUUAGGCUCUUGUCCACGGAUGCGGUGACGAUGAAAGUUUAUUCAAUCAUAAUAUUAUUAGAUUUUAUUUGAUGAAAGUUCCUUACUAGAUUGUUCCUCUUUCCUUCCCAUACCCAUUUUAUUGUGUCUAUCUGUGCCAAGUGCUUAAAUAACUCUAACAUGGUUUGGUAAAUUUUUUGCAGAGGAAUUGAAAAAAAUGUCGCCUCUUGAGGUUGCUGUGAAAUAUUAUACAGGAGAUGACUUGUAUUUAUUUGACUUCCAUAGUUGUAAAUUCUAAAAGACCUAAGAUAGGUAUGCUUUAUAUCUAACACUUUGGAAGCUGGUACAGUGGCCAGAGGCAGAGGCAAAGACGUCAACGUGGGGAUUCCAGACGGCGAAGUAGACGCAAUAGGCGUGCUCCUUGAAGGUGCGG
This 413-nucleotide small RNA is filed under the name Vigna angularis var. angularis. Its description in RNAcentral is "Non-protein coding transcript". The record is from RNAcentral. Lineage: Eukaryota; Viridiplantae; Streptophyta; Magnoliopsida; Fabales; Fabaceae.